This 492-nucleotide ribosomal RNA is filed under the name uncultured bacterium. Its description in RNAcentral is "partial 16S ribosomal RNA". It matches the Rfam family "Bacterial small subunit ribosomal RNA", at positions 29 to 507 of the family's 1533-position model. The record is from RNAcentral.
AGUGAACGCUGGCGGUAGGCCUAACACAUGCAAGUCGAACGGCAGCACAGUAAGAGCUUGCUCUUACGGGUGGCGAGUGGCGGACGGGUGAGGAAUACAUCGGAAUCUACUUUUUCGUGGGGGAUAACGUAGGGAAACUUACGCUAAUACCGCAUACGACCUACGGGUGAAAGCAGGGGAUCUUCGGACCUUGCGCGAUUGAAUGAGCCGAUGUCGGAUUAGCUAGUUGGCGGGGUAAAGGCCCACCAAGGCGACGAUCCGUAGCUGGUCUGAGAGGAUGAUCAGCCACCCUGGAACUGAGACACGGCCCAGACUCCUACGGGAGGCAGCAGUGGGGAAUAUUGGACAAUGGGCGCAAGCCUGAUCCAGCCAUACCGCGUGGGUGAAGAAGGCCUUCGGGUUGUAAAGCCCUUUUGUUGGGAAAGAAAAGCAGCAGGUUAAUACCCCGCUGUUCUGACGGUACCCAAAGAAUAAGCACCGGCUAACUUCGUG